UGGGGAAUAUUGCACAAUGGGCGAAAGCCUGAUGCAGCAACGCCGCGUGAGUGAUGAAGGUCUUCGGAUUGUAAAGCUCUGUCUUUUGGGACGAUAAUGACGGUACCAAAGGAGGAAGCCACGGCUAACUACGUGCCAGCAGCCGCGGUAAUACGUAGGUGGCGAGCGUUGUCCGGAUUUACUGGGCGUAAAGGGUGCGUAGGCGGAUGUUUAAGUGAGAUGUGAAAUACCCGGGCUUAACUUGGGUGCUGCAUUUCAAACUGGAUAUCUAGAGUGCAGGAGAGGAGAAUGGAAUUCCUAGUGUAGCGGUGAAAUGCGUAGAGAUUAGGAAGAACACCAGUGGCGAAGGCGAUUCUCUGGACUGUAACUGACGCUGAGGCACGAAAGCGUGGGUAGCAAACAGGAUUAGAUACCCUGGUAGUCCACGCCGUGAACGAUGAGUACUAGGUGUAGGAGGUAUCGACCCCUUCUGUGCCGCAGUAAACACAUUAAGUACUCCGCCUGGGGAGGUACGAUCGCAAGAUUAAAACUCUAAAGUGAAUUGAC
RNAcentral lists this ribosomal RNA (546 nucleotides) under uncultured bacterium. RNAcentral describes it as "partial 16S ribosomal RNA". It matches the Rfam family "Bacterial small subunit ribosomal RNA", at positions 355 to 914 of the family's 1533-position model. The record is from RNAcentral.